Molecule: long non-coding RNA, 1290 nt
Filed under: Manihot esculenta (cassava)
Lineage: Eukaryota; Viridiplantae; Streptophyta; Magnoliopsida; Malpighiales; Euphorbiaceae
Description: long non-coding RNA (MESC_LNC008496)
Source: RNAcentral
UUGGCUAUCAUAGUUUAUGUUUAUGGCCUCUUAAUCACCGGAAAUAAGGAGGAGUACAUCAUUGCAGUUAAGCAGUAUCUCCAUAAAACUUUCGCUAUUAGAGAUCUGGGAUAUGUCAAAUACUUCUUAGGCAUUGAGAUUAUCAAGUCAGAAGCUGGGAUAUUCAUUAAUCAAAGAAAAUAUACUAUGGACAUUUUAUAUGAUACUGGGAUGAUGCAAGCCAAACCUAGUUCAGUACCAUUCCCUAAAGGUACAAAGCUAACAGAUGAAGGGAGCAAAUUUUUAGAUAAACCUUAUCAGUACCGAAGACUAGUAGGCAAGCUACUCUACCUCAGCAUGACCAGACCAGACAUUACCUAUGUUGCUCAACAACUAAGUCAAUACAUGCAACAACCCAGAACAAAUCAUUGGCGUGCAGCCUUAUAUGUAUUAAGAUACCUCAAAGGAUGUCUAGAAAAGGGUCUGUUCUUCCCAGCAAAAUCAGACGUCCAAUUAAAGGCACUUUGGGAUGCUGAUUGAGCCGCAUGCACUAUUUCCAGAAAAUCUAUUAGCAGGUUUUGUGUCUCUUAGGCUCCUCUCUCAUUUCCUAGAAAGCAAAGAAACAGAACACCGUCAGUUGCUCCUUGCUCCUCCGCUGAAGUAGAAUACCGAAGCAUGGCAUCUACUAUUUGCGAACUAAAGUGGAUCACUUACUUCCUCAAAGAUUUUCAGAUUGCAGCUCCCUUACCCAUUUUGUUACUUUGCGACAACAAGGUUGCACAACAUAUAGCGGCUAAUCCCGUCUUCCACAAAUACACCAAGCACCUCGACAUCAACUGCCACAUUGUACGUGACCAACUCAAAGCUGGUUUUUUUUCAUUUAGUUCAUAUGCCUUCUCGAUUGCAACUCACCGACAUCUUCACUAAAGCCUUAAGUGCUCCUAUUUCAUCAAUUGCUCUCCAAGAUGGGACUUUUUCAUUUCAAUCCGUCUCCAUCCUGCAAGGGGGCUGAAGGAAAAACACAAUCCGUUUUGACAAAGUAGGAUCAAAUUAACAAUAAAACGGUGCGCAUAGGAAAAAAAACUCAGAGAAAUAAAACAAGGCCUUCAUCCUUAAGCCCAUUAAUAUUAGCCCAACGUUCACCAACAGCCCAUUACCCCAUGUGAGCAAGAAUUAGAGCAAAGACCAGUGUUGUAAUGUAUUUCUGUUGUAACGUUUUCUUUACAUUUUUUUCUUCUUCUAGAGUUUUCCUCCAGUUGUAUCAUCAUCUAGAAUAUUCUUCCUGUGUAUAAAUUAUGUACAAUAGAAAUG